RNAcentral lists this ribosomal RNA (292 nucleotides) under uncultured bacterium. RNAcentral's name for it is "partial 16S ribosomal RNA". It matches the Rfam family "Bacterial small subunit ribosomal RNA", at positions 505 to 796 of the family's 1533-position model. The record is from RNAcentral.
GUGCCAGCCGCCGCGGUAAUACGGAGGGUGCGAGCGUUGUCCGGAAUCAUUGGGCGUAAAGGGCGCGUAGGUGGCGGGAUAAGCGUGCGGUGAAAGCUCGGGGCUCAACCCCGAGUCGGCCGUGCGAACUAUCUUGCUUGAGCACUGUAGAGGCAGGCGGAAUUCCGGGUGUAGCGGUGGAAUGCGUAGAGAUCCGGAAGAACACCGGUGGCGAAGGCGGCCUGCUGGGCAGUAGCUGACACUGAGGCGCGACAGCGUGGGGAGCAAACAGGAUUAGAUACCCUCGUAGUCC